Molecule: microRNA precursor, 95 nt
Filed under: Canis lupus dingo (dingo)
Lineage: Eukaryota; Metazoa; Chordata; Mammalia; Carnivora; Canidae
Description: mir-8799 microRNA precursor family
Rfam family: mir-8799 microRNA precursor family
Source: Rfam by way of RNAcentral
GGAGGGAAUACCAGAUAUUGGGCUGUGUCCCCCAGUGCCCUGAGCUCCCGGGCCUGCACCACUGGAUUCGUGCUCCCAGGGCUGCGCAGCCCUCU